CCCCUCUCAGUAUCGCACCUGGAGAGUUUCCAGUACUUUACCAGUCUUGGCUACGGGAGGGAGAGUCAAGAAGAGGAAUAGCCAUUCCAUUCCUAGCUUGGGCAGUGGCUGGCCAGUGGAAGACAAUCUGCUACAAGU
This 138-nucleotide small nucleolar RNA is filed under the name Ornithorhynchus anatinus (platypus). The record is from RNAcentral. Lineage: Eukaryota; Metazoa; Chordata; Mammalia; Monotremata; Ornithorhynchidae.